RNAcentral lists this microRNA precursor (75 nucleotides) under Ovis aries (sheep). RNAcentral describes it as "miRNA (ENSOARG00000022078.1)". Lineage: Eukaryota; Metazoa; Chordata; Mammalia; Artiodactyla; Bovidae. The record is from RNAcentral.
UUGGUUUGGCCAAAAAGUUUGUUUGGGUUUUCCCAUACCAUCUUGCAGGAAAACCCAAACUUUUUGGCCAAACCA